UUGAACCCGGUUCCACUGGAAGAGCAGUCAGUGCUCUUAACCUCUGAGCCAUCUCUCCAGCCCCAUAAAUAUUUGAGACUAAAUUUGAUUGCUCGCUCAGACAAAAACAAGCGCCGCCCAACGUGGGGCUCGAACCCACGACCCUGGGAUUAAGAGUCCCAUGCUCUACCGACUGAGCUAGCCGGGCAGGCGAGAUGCAACUUUCUAUCCAAGGACUAAAACGAAUGAAGCAGAAGCAGCAUGGAGAAGCCCAAAGGUAAGCUUCACACGGCUGUUAAUAAUUCCAGGGACAGAAACAGGCUCAUAACUUGGAACAAAAUCACCACGUACACUCUGCACUGCUAGUGGCAGCUCCCCCUCCACGGUGCUCCAAAGAGACCUUUCAGACAACCGACCAUACAACCCUCACGCUAUUUAUGUGAGAGCUGCGUGGCAACAAAGGCAGUCAUCGCCUCCAUCCUUUGACCUGGGAGACACGAUUUGGUUUCUUCCCAUAGGUCUGUCGGUCACGGUCUGCCGCCAUUUGAUGACGGCUUCUUCUGAAAGAUCAACAUGAGGACGGUGUGAAGAUCUGAACGGAGGAGCGUGGAGGCCAUCCUUCUUUCUUUGGAGAAUGAGACAAAAAGAAAUUAAAAUUCCAUCAUUUUGCUGA
This is a non-coding RNA of Myodes glareolus (Bank vole), 652 nucleotides long. Lineage: Eukaryota; Metazoa; Chordata; Mammalia; Rodentia; Cricetidae. The record is from RefSeq and is a predicted model, not a curated record.